AAUAAAUAAGGGAUGCUAAAUAGUCUACAACGAUAUAAUAACCACCAAAACGACAUAAUAACCAUCGAAAACAAAACGACCUAGGUGUUGGUGGCCCUGGUGUAGAUCUGCUGGCUGGCAUGAGCAGAAACCAUCCUAAUCGCCCCUCUGGCCAUCAAGUCCCUUAUGGCCUUCCUCGCCAGAGACCCAUUGAUCCUGAGACGGUCGGAGAGAAUGGAGGGUGUGAUG
This 228-nucleotide long non-coding RNA is filed under the name Prunus persica (peach). RNAcentral's name for it is "long non-coding RNA (PPER_LNC002302)". Lineage: Eukaryota; Viridiplantae; Streptophyta; Magnoliopsida; Rosales; Rosaceae. The record is from RNAcentral.